Vespa velutina is the source of this 1522-nucleotide long non-coding RNA. RefSeq lists it as uncharacterized. The record is from RefSeq and is a predicted model, not a curated record. The transcript is spliced from 4 exons. NCBI's taxonomy places the organism in Eukaryota, Metazoa, Arthropoda, Insecta, Hymenoptera, Vespidae.
AUUUGCGGUCAAGCAAACUUUUGUUACUUAAGGAUCGUUGAAUUUUCGACGAUACUGUAAUCACAAUUUUGCUUUACAUCUGAGAAUGUUGUUAGUAUAUUAAGUUUAACGAUUUCAAAACGACCUUGAUCUACGAUCGAUAAGCAAAUUACUCAGGAAACACGUGUAUAACGCGUUUAUGGCAGAAGAAACUUAAACACCCAUUCACUCGCACAUCAAAGAUCGAUUAAACGAAACGAUCACGAGGCAAAGAAAUCUUGGUUCACGAUGGUUCACGAUGGUUCACGUUGGAAUGGUUACAACGAUCUAUCUAGUGAUUGCUACUCUCUCGACUCGAUCGCGACUGAGUUGCACAAUCGAGUCUUCGUCGACAUUGAUCCUCGCUCGUUUUCUACCAAAGAAAACGAAAAGGCACAACGAUGACGAUGAUAAUAAAGAUUAUCUUUUACUUGCAACUAUCGUUGGUUGAUGAACCUGGUGAUGUAUAUCCUGCGACAACUGACAUUCUUUUUAAUGCAGAUGAGAAAUGAUGUCUUUGUAAAAUCUUUAGUACAGUGAGGCUCCAAUUUACAGCUUUCAGUGUAGCUUUCUCAAGUGGAUCUCCGACUAUUCCAUCGUCCAACUGAACAAGAGAAUGGCAUGUUGCAAGUACUUGCACACUUUCUAAACGUGCAUCUGAGAUUGGCAUAACAUCUGUUUUACCACUAAAAUACGUAAAGUAUAAGAAUCAAUAAAUUUACUUUUUAAUUUGUAUAAUUACAUACUACAUAAAUUAUGCAUACUCAAUCCCUGCUAUCCCUUCGACAACAAGAUUAUCACUAGUCAAAGUUCCAGUUUUAUCGAAACAACAAAUUUCAACUUUUCCUGCGAAUGGUAUUCUAAAAGGUUCUGUACAAAAUACUCCUAAAAAUAAUUUGCAUUUUAAUAUUAUGCCUACAUGAUACAUAAAUAAGAGAUGAAAGUUAAAUAUUAGUAACAUUUUCUAAAUACCUAAUUUAGAUAAAGCUAACAAGGAAGUGUUUACAGCCAAUGACAAUUCAAUGGGUAAUUCUGGUGGUACAACGGAUGUAAGAAUAAGUGUACACUCUAAAAAUAACUUGUACUUAUUUCUUGUCGGAUCCUCACUGCCUAAAAAUAUUAUUAACAUAAGUUUUCUCCUGUAAAAUAAAAAUAUCACGUUUGAUUAUUUUUAAUUACAAAAUUAGUAGAAUUAAACCUUUGAUCCAAACAUAAGCCGCAGCACCAAUUGCAAAUAUCAGAAGAAAUAGAAUGAAUCCAAAUGUUUCAAGAUUAUUUGCUGUAACACGUUUAACUCCAAAUAAGAUGGUUCUUAAGAGUUUACCCUGUGAUGUUGAAAAUCCAGUACGCAAAACAUAAGCAACACAGCCAUUAUCAACAGCUAAAAUGUACAAACACAAUUUAAUUAUUCUCUUUUAUAUUUCAAUCGUUGUUUUAAAAUGCAUACCUCUGAGACCUGACACAUUUUUACUGGGUGGUGUAUGUUGUACUACUUUUGUUCCUC